CACUCCCCGGGCGUUCCCGUGCCCUAAGCGGUGGCUGUUCUCCCAGCGGCGACUGCGGCGUUUCCUCGGCGGACGGCGGCUGUCUUCCUCUCCAUCAGCGAACAGCGGAAGCAAUGGCGGUGUCUUCCUCCGGCGAGUUCUUGUCGCUGCAGCGUUUUCCUCGGUGAACGGCGGCUGCUGCGUCUUUGUCUCCAUCUGUGUAACGGCAGAGGCGGCGUCUCUGCUCCCCGUCAGUUGAGUAUGGAAUUGCAGCGGGCUGUUCAUGACUGACUACGAUGGAAUCGGGGCUCUGAGGACUCAGGGGCUUACUAGUGGAAAGUGGAUAGACGCAGACGAUGGCAUGACCAUUCAGGCAUCAAGUGCUAGGAAAAUCAGGUGUUUGUGAUGAUUUAGGUGUACACUAUGUCUUGCAAGUGGGAUUACCAAGCAGUAAGGAGUUAUUUGAUGCUAAAUUGGAGAAGAAAACUUGCAGGAUUAUUGCUUGAGUUUAGGAAAGAUUCCCAAAAGACAUUGCCACCAGUUGUCCAAAAGCCUGAUGGGAAGAAAAACUGGAUGGUUUGUGAUCCGGUUCCUAUAAACAACUUCUGCUGCUAAAUAGAUAUCUAGGUCUUUGUUUAUCAGUUAUAUCUCCUCUGACUACUCUAUGUUAUAUUUGAUAUUACUGAUUUUGAGGUAUCCAAUUUAGUUUAGUAUUUAAUUUUUAAGAAGAAUGGAGUGAGUUGCUCAAUAAAGCCCCAAUAAGUCACAUACGUUGUACCUGGUAUUGAAGACUUUGACCACGCAGAUAUCUCUGAAUUUGUUCAGAAAGCUCAGGUCUUAGUAAGUGUCAGAAAAUUAGAACUUGGAGACAUUUUUAGUUAUUGGUUUCCCACAGGAUUCUGGAGUGUUCUUGGAUGGAGCUUUCAGAAAAUAAAAGGACAGUGACAGCUGAGGAAUUAGCUGUGGUACUUAUUUUGCAGAAUUAACUUUCCAUGCUUGAACACUGCUCAUCUUUCAUUUUCUUCAGAUUAUAUAUGGCAGCAAGGAAUAUCUUGAAAGCUACUGUUCCCUUCUCUUGUUGUCUAGAGAUGACAUAUAUUUUAGUGUGGUUGAUAGCAAGGGAUAUUGUUCUCUAUAUGAACGACGACCAAGUAUUAAGGGUCAAUAUGAGGAUUCUUUAGGAAAGAUUCUUUUGGUCAAUUUUCAGGCUGCCCAACCACUUCCUCAAUGGUGGCGACAGCGUGGUGGUUGAAUCCAUCGCAACCCUAGUUUUCAUGGACGAGGAGGAGGUGGGUUUUCUCUCGUUGCAUCGGUCUUCGAUAACGAUGGCAUGCUUUUGCUUGCUUCCAUCCUUAUUGUCAUUGUUCCAUCAUAAGUUCUUGAUCUUUGUUCCAAAGAUGAUUCUGUACGGUGAUUCUUUGAGAAAGAUUCUUUUGGUGUAUUUUCAUGACCGUCCCUUCCUCGACGGUGGCGAAAACCUAGCUGUAGACUCCAUCGCCAGCUUAGCUUCCUUGGUAGAGGCUGAAAACAAAAGUGGCGAUCGACAAGGAGGGUUUUCUAUAGUUGCAUCGAUGGUGAUCGCAUGCUUUCGCUUGUUUCCUGUCCUAUGGUGGCCAUUCUAUCGCAGAUUCUUGAUCCUUGGUGCAGAGAAGUGUUGGUACAAGGAUUCUUUUGAAUAGAUUCUUUUGGCCACAUAUUUUCAUGGCGAGCUCUGCUGCCGCCUAGCUUGCAAUGAAGAUGGCAAUUGACGAGGAGGUUUUUUUUCUCUCGUUAGGCCAGUGAUGUUUUUUCUUGCUUCCAGCCCUAUCAUGGCUGUUUGAUCGCAGAUUCUUGAUUUCUUGGUCCGGAGGAGAAGAGUCAGUAGGUUGGUUCUUUUGGACAUCGAGUGUUCCUUUGCCUCGUGAUGGAUUUCUGCCCACUGGCAAGGAAACCUUCUGUCAAUGGCAUAAUUACAUUGAUAGGGGGACCUGAGGUGGAGUAGAUUAUUUGGUCAUAGUGUUGUUAUGAUCAUGCUGUUUGUGCUUCUUAUGAAUGAAGAAGAGAUAAUUGGAUUGGUUGCCGUUAAGUGGCUGGGAAAGUUUAUGAAGAAAGGAGGGCACCGGCCACAGCCAGUAAAUGAAUGUGAUAUUUAUUCAGGUAAGCAUUAUCUUGAUUGAAGCUUAAUUAGACUUUCGUAGUUCUAAUGCUUGAGUGAAUAUUCUUGUCCAAUUUAGUUUAGUCUCCUUUCAUUUUUUUUAUGGCAUGUUAUACUUAGGUUUGUAUCACAUGAUAUUAAUUUAGUAAUCUCUUUUUAAGUAAUAGAAGCUAUUAAUUUAGUACACAUAUGCACACAACACAUAAUACACAUAUACACACUACACACAUACAAUACACAUACACACAACACACACACUAUACAACACACACAAUACAUACACAACACAAACAUACAUAGCAUACACAACACACACACAAUACACAUACAUACACACACGAAAAUAACACAAACAAUACACAAACAACACAUAACACACACUAUGCAUACACACAACACACAAUAUACAACACACAUGAAAAUAACACAAACAACACACAAUACACAUAUACACACAACACAAUACAUAUACAAACAACACACUACACACACAAUACACACAAAAAUAAUACAAUAACAUAAACAACACAAACAUAAUACACAUACAAACAACACACACUACAAAUACACAUACACACACACAACACAGGCUAUACAAGCACUACAUACAAACACAAUACACAUACACAUACAACAUAACAUUACACACACACAACACAAUACACAUACACACAACACAGAUAAAUAACACACACACAAUAAACAACACAUGAAAAUAACACAAACAAUACACACAAUACACAUACAAAUAACACAUAACACACACACUACACAAACAAUAAACAUACACACAACACACACAAUAAACAACACACACAAAAAUAACACAAACAACACACACAAUACACAUAUAUAUAUACACAACACACAACACACACAACACACAAAAAUAAUAUAACAACAUAAACUAUACACACAAUACACACAACACAUACUAUACACACACUGCAUAGAAACAUAACAUACAUAACACAAACACAUAUUCACACAACUUGAAACAACACACACACAUAACAUACACAACACACACGCAAUACAUAUAUAUACAUAACACACACACAAUAAAUAACACACACGAAAAGAACACAAACAAUACACAUAACACUACACACACAACACAUAACACACAAUAUAAAUACAUAAUACACAUACACACAACACACACAAACACAUUAAACAACACGUACGAAAAUAACACAAAUAUAACACGCACAAUACACACACACACAACACAUAACAUUACACUACACACACACAAUACACAUACACACCACGCACUACACACUACACAAACAACGAACCCAAAAAUAACAUAAACAACACAAACACAAUACACAUACAAAGAACACAUACUACAUACACACAUAACAUACACAACGCACACUACAUACAAAUAUAACAUACACAACACAAACACAUACACACACAUCUUUUAACAACACAUACACACAUUUACACACAACUCAUAACACACACUACAUAAACACAAAGCAAACACAACACAUACAACUUGUAACAACACACACAUAUACACACAAUUCAUAACAACACAUACUAUACACAAUACACACCUUCACAACACACUAUAUAAAACACUCACACAUAACACAUAUACAUAUAUAACAUACACAAUACGCACACAUACACAUACAACUCAUAACAACACACACACGCAUAGCAUACACAACACACACAUAUACACACAACUCAUAACAACACACACUACACAUAGCACACACAUUGUAACAACACACAUAUACAUAUAACAUAUAUGCAAUACACACACAACUCAUAACAAUACACACACGCAUAAUAUACACAACUCAUACACAUACACACAUGACUCAUAAUACAAACACACAUACACACACAACUCAUAACAUGCAUACAUACACACAACUCGUAAUAUACAUACAGACGACACAAACACAACACACACACAUACACACAACUCAUAACAACAAACACUACACACACAUAAUAUACACAAUACAUACACAUAAGCACACAACUCAUAAUAAUACACAUACACAAUAUACACGACACACGACACACGCACAUACACAAUAUACAUGCACAUAUAUACACACACAUAAACAACACACAUUACACACACACAUAUAACAUACAACACACACACACACAUAUAACACAUACACAAUACACACACACAUAACAUACACAAAAACCAACACACACAAAAACAACACACAACACACAAGGAUCCAUAUACAUUACACACUUACACACAACUCAUAAUAACACACUAUACACAAUGCAUACAUAUACACACAACUCAAAACAAUACACACUAUACACAUUACAUACACAAUAAAACAAAACACAGUAUAAAUAACACACAACACAAAUAAAGCACAACACUUAAAAGACACAACAUACACACACAACAUACAACACACACAUAUAACAUACACAACACACAUACACACACAACUCUUAAUAUACACAACACACACACAUAAUAUACACAACACAUGCCCACAUAUACACAUAACACACGCAUGUAUACACGUAACUCAUAAAACACAUACUACACACAAUACGCACAUAACAAACACAACACACAUAUACACACAUGACUCAUAACAACGUAUACUACACACGCAUAACAUAUACAGUACACAAACAUAUCACAUAAAACAAACACGACAUAUAAAAAAUAAACAUACAACACACGUAACAGGUACACAUACGCACACACAUAAUGCAAAACAAACACAACUCACAUAUCGCACAACAAACAUACACAAUACACUCAUGUAGAACAAACACACAUAUACAUAAUAUACACACAACAUAGACAACACACACAAGCACAAUAUACAAAACAAACAAAAUGCACACACCACACAGCACACACACAAUAUAGAACACAAAACAAACACAACACAACAUACACAUACAUAACACAUAACACAAAACACACACACAUCACAGCACACAUAACACACACACACAAUGCAUAACACAAACACACAACAUAUAACAUAACACACAAACAAUACAAACACACACACAACACAUGAUACACAACAUACACAAACACACAUAUACACACAUAACAUACAAAAACACAUACACACACAUAAAUACAAAACACACUCCACACACACAACACAUAAAUACACACAUACACAUCACACACAAAAUACAACGCACACACAUACAACACACACCCACACACACAACACACACAUACGUAUACAUAACAUAUAACACACAUACACAACAAACACAGACAAAUGCACAUCCCUGUUAUUUUUCAUCAUUUGAGAGAUUCGUCGGAAAAAAUAUGGAUCAACAAAACUUAACCGAUCCCACACCAGAGUCAGAAUCAUUUGUGAGUUAAGAUCAUUUGCCAGUUGAGACAGAAUGACGGAUCAAAGUUUGACUACUCAUCAAUAACAGUAGAGUGUAGUUGGGAGCCAAGAGGCACAUUGCAUCUUCUUCAAAUGUUAUCAUUUUCGAUUUUUGCUUUUCUUAGAAUAAUGGUUUUUAGUUUUUCUACUUGAAACGAAGAUGUUUGAUGAUAAAGACCGUGCCGCUUCCAACAAUGAAUAACUUAAGCUUUGUUUUCACUGUCAAGAAAAGAUUAAAAACAUAGACAGUACUAGAAGAAAAAUCGAUCGUAACAUAAGCCAGUCAUCGAUCAGCUUCAUUUACUUUGUUUUUGCUAUAGGUAUGACUACCUUUGAUCAUUCUUGUGUAAUUUAGUUGAAUGUGUGUGUGUGAGAGAGAGAGAGAGAGAGAGAGAGAGAGAAAAUAUGAUCAAAUGUACUUGUUAUUUCUCUCCAGAUCAGAGAUCAUUCUUGUGUAAUUUAGUUGAAUGUGUGUGUGUAUGUGUGUGUGUGUGUGUGAGAGAGAGAGAGAGAGAGAGAGAGAGAAAAUAUGAUCAAAUGUACUCAGUAUUUCUCUCCAGAUCAGAUGUAUAUGUAGGGACUUUGGUAUUGCUUGUAUCCACAGAGAAGGGGAAGGAUAUUGAACACAUAAUCUCAACUUGUGAGUUCUCGCAGGAAGACAAGAGUGAUUUCUUCUUAGUAGAUGAAAUUGUACCAAACCAGAUUAGCUCAACAAAAGUGAGUGAUAUGGACAGAGUUGAUUACGACUGUGGUUUUUAUGGAGGUUAUUUCUCUUUGCAGCUUAAAGAAAAGUCACUGUAAGUGAAAGGUGCAAGUGUCUAAGGAAAUGGCAAAAAUAUUAUGAUGAUCUACAAUGAAAUAUUUUAUGUUGUCGAUGUUCUGUUGUUGUAAGGUUGGCUUCUCGGUCCUUUGUAUUUAAUAAAAGAGAUAGUGAAACCUAAAGAUGGAUAUACUUUCACGAAAGUGAACUUGUAAUCACAAAGUAGACAUCACUUUUGAAG
Musa acuminata AAA Group (dessert banana) is the source of this 6494-nucleotide long non-coding RNA. RefSeq lists it as uncharacterized. The transcript has 6 exons. The record is from RefSeq and is a predicted model, not a curated record. NCBI's taxonomy places the organism in Eukaryota, Viridiplantae, Streptophyta, Magnoliopsida, Zingiberales, Musaceae.